This 468-nucleotide ribosomal RNA is filed under the name uncultured bacterium. RNAcentral's name for it is "partial 16S ribosomal RNA". It matches the Rfam family "Bacterial small subunit ribosomal RNA", at positions 28 to 507 of the family's 1533-position model. The record is from RNAcentral.
GACGAACGCUGGCGGCGUGCUUAACACAUGCAAGUCGAACGGAAAGGCCCUGCUUUUGUGGGGUGCUCGAGUGGCGAACGGGUGAGUAACACGUGAGUAACCUGCCCUUGACUUUGGGAUAACUUCAGGAAACUGGGGCUAAUACCGGAUAUGAGCUCCUGCUGCAUGGUGGGGGUUGGAAAGUUUCGGCGGUUGGGGAUGGACUCGCGGCUUAUCAGCUUGUUGGUGGGGUAGUGGCUUACCAAGGCUUUGACGGGUAGCCGGCCUGAGAGGGUGACCGGCGACAUUGGGACUGAGAGACGGCCCAGACUGCUACGGGAGGCAGCAGUGGGGAAGAUUGCACAAUGGGCGGAAGCGUGAUGCAGAAACGCCGCGUGCGGGAUGACGGCCUUCGGGUUGUAAACCGCUUUAGCCUGUGACGAAGCGUGAGUGACGGUAAUGGGUAAAGAAGCACCGGCUAACUACGUG